RNAcentral lists this ribosomal RNA (428 nucleotides) under uncultured bacterium. Its description in RNAcentral is "partial 16S ribosomal RNA". It matches the Rfam family "Bacterial small subunit ribosomal RNA", at positions 354 to 796 of the family's 1533-position model. The record is from RNAcentral.
GUGGGGAAUAUUGGGCAAUGGGCGGAAGCCUGACCCAGCGACGCCGCGUGGGGGAAGAAGUCUUUCGGGAUGUAAACCCUUGUUGUACGGGACGAAGGAAGUGACGGUACCGUACGAGGAAGCCCCGGCAAACUACGUGCCAGCAGCCGCGGUAAUACGUAGGGGGCGAGCGUUGUCCGGAAUCACUGGGCGUAAAGCGCACGUAGGCGGGCUGUCAAGUCGGCCGUGAAAGGCACGGGCUCAACCUGUGCAUGUCGGUGGAUACUGUCGGUCUGGAGUAUGGGAGAGGGAACUGGAAGUCCCGGUGUAGCGGUGAAAUGCGUAGAUAUCGGGAGGAACACCAGUGGCGAAGGCGGGUUCCUGGCCCAUGACUGACGCUGAGGUGCGAAAGCCGGGGGAGCGAACGGGAUUAGAUACCCGGGUAGUCC